This 468-nucleotide ribosomal RNA is filed under the name uncultured bacterium. RNAcentral describes it as "partial 16S ribosomal RNA". It matches the Rfam family "Bacterial small subunit ribosomal RNA", at positions 28 to 507 of the family's 1533-position model. The record is from RNAcentral.
GACGAACGCUGGCGGCGUGCUUAACACAUGCAAGUCGAACGGAAAGGCCCUGCUUUUGUGGGGUGCUCGAGUGGCGAACGGGUGAGUAACACGUGAGUAACCUGCCCUUGACUUUGGGAUAACUUCAGGAAACUGGGGCUAAUACCGGAUAGGAGCUCCUGCUGCAUGGUGGGGGUUGGAAAGUUUCGGCGGUUGGGGAUGGACUCGCGGCUUAUCAGCUUGUUGGUGGGGUAGUGGCUUACCAAGGCUUUGACGGGUAGCCGGCCUGAGAGGGUGAACGGCCACAAUGGGCCUGAGAUACGGCCCAGACUCCUACGGGAGGCAACAGUGGGGAAUAUUGCACAAUGGGCGGAAGCCUGAUGCAGCAACGCCGCGUGCGGGAUGACGGCCUUCGGGUUGUAAACCGCUUUCGCCUGUGACGAAGCGUGAGUGACGGUAAUGGGUAAAGAAGCACCGGCUAACUACGUG